GCAAAACCUAAGGGGUGGCUACGGCCUGAGAUGCUAUUGGAACCAGCAAUGCAAACCCUUGAACCUGAUCCGGCUAAUACCGGCGUAGGAAUAGGUCAGUAAUCCUCU
RNAcentral lists this non-coding RNA (108 nucleotides) under gamma proteobacterium BDW918. Its description in RNAcentral is "TPP riboswitch aptamer (THI element)". It matches the Rfam family "TPP riboswitch aptamer (THI element)". From Rfam's summary of the family: Vitamin B(1) in its active form thiamin pyrophosphate (TPP) is an essential coenzyme that is synthesised by coupling of pyrimidine and thiazole moieties in bacteria. The previously detected thiamin-regulatory element, thi box was extended, resulting in a new, highly conserved RNA secondary structure, the THI element, which is widely distributed in eubacteria and also occurs in some archaea. The record is from Rfam by way of RNAcentral. RNAcentral also lists the same sequence under 1 other name. Lineage: Bacteria; Pseudomonadati; Pseudomonadota; Gammaproteobacteria; Cellvibrionales; Spongiibacteraceae.